UACGAAGGGGGCUAGCGUUGCUCGGAAUUACUGGGCGUAAAGCGUGCGCAGGCGGUCUGCUAAGAGAGGUGUGAAAUCCCCGGGCUCAACCUGGGAACUGCAUUUGUGACUGCAAGGUUAGAGUACGGUAGAGGGGGAUGGAAUUCCGCGUGUAGCAGUGAAAUGCGUAGAUAUGCGGAGGAACACCGAUGGCGAAGGCAAUCCCCUGGACCUGUACUGACGCUCAUGCACGAAAGCGUGGGGAGCAAACAGG
Molecule: ribosomal RNA, 253 nt
Filed under: uncultured bacterium
Lineage: Bacteria
Description: partial 16S ribosomal RNA
Rfam family: Bacterial small subunit ribosomal RNA
Source: RNAcentral